GUACCAUGUUUCGCUUCCAGGUUUCCGGCGCAUCUAGGAGGAAUCACAGGUAGCUAAUUUGUUGGUAAGUAUUGGUCUCAUUUGUUUUUUAGGUGUUGUCGUGACUUGGCCUUUGGGUUGCCAGCCAGCUCAUGCCGGCCACAGGUGAAGAGUAGGCGUUGGUGUGAGGUAAGUAGAAUCCUGCAAGGAGAGGAUGAUUUGCCAGGCAGGAAUCCCGAUAUUCAUCUGUGUGUUUUUAUUUUCAGGUAUGGGCAGGUUGGAGUGAAAGCCCAGUAAGGAGUUGACUUUUCCAGAGCGACCUCGACAGUUCAUGUUUUGUGCAUCAGGAUUGGAGAUGUCGGAUCCGAAGGCGCCGACCAGAAGGACUCCGCUGGUGUGAAUUUGAUGAGAAAUUCGACAGCGUCAGUCCUGGAUUGCUCCUGUUUGGAUCCCGCAUCAAUGUCAUCAGCUGACCGAUGACCAAAUUUAGCUGCUGCAUCAUGGCCAUGAGGUCUCGAUAUAUUGGCUGCAUUUGACCAGGAGUAUCUGCUUCUUGUGGCAGUCGUUGUUUUAGGGGAGUGUUUUGUUUUUGUGUUGUGUAGUGGUGUUUAUUGUUGUUGUAGUAGCUUUUACUUUUGUAUCGUGUUGUAUUAUCAUUUUGUUUGUUAUUAUUAGUAUUAGGUUUAAUGUUUAUUAACGUUUUGUUUGUAUUUUCCAGUUUUGUGUUCAUAGCAGAGUUCGAGCAGGAGACGGUCGUGGAGUUUUGGCUUAUUUCGCCAAAAUAUUGCGUCGAGGGCACCCGGGGGAAAUGCCAGUCAGCCUCUCUUUUAAAAGUUGACGCAUACUGGAUUGGGGUUUCUCUUGUGUUGGCAAUCCUUGGUGUCGUGAGUGCCGGCACAUUUCAUACAGGCGACCUGACCAUGGCAGUAGUUCCUUGUAUGUCCGAACGCCUGGCAUUUGUGGCACUGUGCCGGGGUCAGGCGCCUGUGGAAUUUUUCAAUUCUCACUUGGUAAGGGCCUAGAAGUUUUAGAGUGCGUCAUUGCGGCUGAGUGGUCUUCAUUGGAGUAGCAGGUUUAGGUUUUCUAAUUGGGCGAGCAGCGGGCCAACGUCUGGGAUGCGGGAGAUCCAGAUGUCCGGAAUCCUCUCGCUUCGAUGACCGCUGUGAUCAGAAGCAGAACGGCCGUCAUUUACGGAUUGCUCGUCUCUCCUCUCACCUUGGUUGCACGUCGCAAUGGAGCUAGUCGUAGUAUUUAAUUUUAUUUUUGACUCUGUAUUUGUUUUAUUAGUUUUAGUUAUAG
This is an RNA transcript of Drosophila willistoni, 1278 nucleotides long. RefSeq lists it as uncharacterized. The transcript is spliced from 6 exons. NCBI's taxonomy places the organism in Eukaryota, Metazoa, Arthropoda, Insecta, Diptera, Drosophilidae. The record is from RefSeq and is a predicted model, not a curated record.